GUGGGGAAUCUUAGACAAUGGGCGCAAGCCUGAUCUAGCCAUGCCGCGUGAGUGAUGAAGGCCCUAGGGUUGUAAAGCUCUUUCAGCUGGGAAGAUAAUGACGGUACCAGCAGAAGAAGCCCCGGCUAACUCCGUGCCAGCAGCCGCGGUAAUACGGAGGGGGCUAGCGUUGUUCGGAAUUACUGGGCGUAAAGCGCGCGUAGGCGGACUGAAAAGUUGGGGGUGAAAUCCCGGGGCUCAACCUCGGAACUGCCUUCAAAACUAUCAGUCUGGAGUUCGAGAGAGGUGAGUGGAAUUCCGAGUGUAGAGGUGAAAUUCGUAGAUAUUCGGAGGAACACCAGUGGCGAAGGUGGCUCACUGGCUCGAUACUGACGCUGAGGUGCGAAAGCGUGGGGAGCAAACAGGAUUAGAAACCCCUGUAGUCC
This 425-nucleotide ribosomal RNA is filed under the name uncultured bacterium. RNAcentral describes it as "partial 16S ribosomal RNA". It matches the Rfam family "Bacterial small subunit ribosomal RNA", at positions 354 to 796 of the family's 1533-position model. The record is from RNAcentral.